This 313-nucleotide long non-coding RNA is filed under the name Neodiprion lecontei (redheaded pine sawfly). Its description in RNAcentral is "uncharacterized LOC124292778". The record is from RNAcentral. Lineage: Eukaryota; Metazoa; Arthropoda; Insecta; Hymenoptera; Diprionidae.
CUAACUUAAAAAUAAAAAAAUAAUUUAUAGAAAUAUUAAUUAUUAAUUAUUUAUUUUUGUAUUAAAUAAUUUAUAAAAAAAAAAAAAAAAAGUAACUCUAACGGAACUUGAACAGCCGUUCGGUCCCUCAGUAAGCAAGAGCGUUACCGCUACGCCACGGAACUAUUGCUGCAACCGGUAAAAAGGUUCCUUCUACUUAAGUUACAUAUAGAACUUUGAGUUGAAAUUUCUCAAUAACAAAAACGAAUGGCGUCUUGCCGCUUUAUAUAUUUAUUGAGGGGACCCUGCCCUACAAUAUAUGUGGGGGAGAUGA